CCCUCCUUGAUAAUGAUCCUCAUUCAGACUACAUCAAUGCGAACUUCAUUGACGGAUACAAUUAUUCCAGAAAGUACAUUGCUGCCCAAGGACCCAACGCGGCAUCGGUUCGGGAUUUCUGGCGAAUGGUAUGGGAGGAGGACUGUUGCAAGAUUGUCAUGCUGACCAACUUGGUAGAGAAUGAUAAGAAAAAGUGUGAAAAGUACUGGCCAGACAAAAAAAUGGUGUAUGGAAAAAUUACUGUUGCCCUAGAUAGUACUGAAGUAAACACACAUUACACGGUCAGGAAAUAUAAU
This is a long non-coding RNA of Lytechinus variegatus (green sea urchin), 296 nucleotides long. RefSeq lists it as uncharacterized. The transcript is spliced from 4 exons. NCBI's taxonomy places the organism in Eukaryota, Metazoa, Echinodermata, Echinoidea, Temnopleuroida, Toxopneustidae. The record is from RefSeq and is a predicted model, not a curated record.